ACUAUCAGCAAAUGCCGAUGGCUUCAAGACCCAUAUCAAGCCAGUCUUCCUUCUCCCCCUCCUCACUUCACCUCACCUGCAAAUUCACUCAGGACCCUGAGUGGAGCCCACCCAUGUUUGCUGGUUUGAGUUCAGUACUUCUUGUAAACCUGGGAUUGUAGCUAAGCACUAUAGCGGUGCAGUUUGGGACACAAAGGUGUAGAGAAGAGUUUAAGGCUUAAACAUGCAUAUCUAGAAGGAGCUAGAUUAGAGAAUGAUUUUAAAAUAACCCUAAUUAAAGCAAUAAUAGUAGUCAGGCAUAAAUGUGAUUAUUUUGUUGUGGCCCCAACAUAAGAGAAAAUAAAGAUGCAGGAAAUAUUUCUUUAUUCUUUUGUAAUGAGUGACCCUACCAGAGGGACACUACCCAGAAAUUGAACUUGAGUUUGUGUGCUAGCAGCAGUCCUUUAAAAUGAGAGAAGUUUCUACUAAAUUGUGAUUUAUGUUGCUCAAAUGAGAAUAAAAUUUAUUUCACAAAUUACUGAUAUUUUUAACAUUUACAGUUUAAUUGUUCAUUGUGGAAAAACAGAGAAAAGGGCAUACGCUGUCCAAGCACAGGCUUCCAUGUGGGCUCAGCCCACCAUGACAUGGGGAUGAAUCCCAACUCUCACCCACCAUGACAGGUGAUCCCCCCAGCUCUCACCCACCAUGACAGGUGAUCCCCCAAGAUCU
RNAcentral lists this long non-coding RNA (708 nucleotides) under Homo sapiens (human). Its description in RNAcentral is "non-protein coding lnc-MFSD9-11:1". The record is from RNAcentral. Lineage: Eukaryota; Metazoa; Chordata; Mammalia; Primates; Hominidae.